GCUCACCCUUUCUGCUUAAGCUAGUAUAGAAAGUACAAUUAUUUCUUUCACCUUCAAGUCCCAACAGUCAACCAAUUCUGAACAUUUGAGUUGAACAUUCUUAAACCACGGCCCUUUACAAUACUUUCUGGACUAAUCCAGAUGUGAAAACUGGACCUUAGACCACAUGAGUGUUGGAAGUCCUGCGGAAUCGGUGGUAGAGUUUGGAAGAGGAGACACUUCCUUCCCUCUAUAUGCCCACUGCCACCCCCUCAUACCAUGGGCCUGAGGUUAAGAACAGCUACACAUUCACCAGGUCACAUAGCCAGUGUGACAGCAUCUGGAUUUGAACUUGGCAUCUGUAGAUGUUAAGGUGCCAUGCUCACCACCUCCAGGGAGAUCUUGUCACAGACUUCCAGGUCCUUUCCUGCACUCUCUCGAGCCCCAUGGGUCCCCGUCCCACACCAGCACCCGCAGCCCUGCAGCAGUGCGAGACGAUGUGCCUGGGGAAUGGGAGGCUGGCAGAGAACAUACCAGGUCCUUCCCUUUUACUGGAUGUUGUCCGUUUGGACUCCAACCAACUCCUGUUUAGAAUAUUUCAGAAGAAAACUAUGAAAAACAACUGGCAAACAGGAUGA
RNAcentral lists this long non-coding RNA (617 nucleotides) under Mustela putorius furo (domestic ferret). RNAcentral's name for it is "lncRNA (ENSMPUG00000027061.1)". The record is from RNAcentral. Lineage: Eukaryota; Metazoa; Chordata; Mammalia; Carnivora; Mustelidae.